Molecule: small nuclear RNA, 107 nt
Filed under: Schistocerca americana (American grasshopper)
Lineage: Eukaryota; Metazoa; Arthropoda; Insecta; Orthoptera; Acrididae
Source: RNAcentral
GUACUCGCUUCGGCGGUACAUAUACUAAAAUUGGAACGAUACAGAGAAGAUUAGCAUGGCCCCUGCGCAAGGAUGACACGCAAAAUAAAUAAAAAAAAAUUAAAAAA